Molecule: ribosomal RNA, 24 nt
Filed under: Tomentella sp. BEhAw2
Lineage: Eukaryota; Fungi; Basidiomycota; Agaricomycetes; Thelephorales; Thelephoraceae
Also listed under: 1 other name
Description: partial 25S ribosomal RNA
Source: RNAcentral
GUUCGAUCUCAAAUCAGGUAGGAU